Molecule: long non-coding RNA, 804 nt
Filed under: Erythranthe guttata (spotted monkey flower)
Lineage: Eukaryota; Viridiplantae; Streptophyta; Magnoliopsida; Lamiales; Phrymaceae
Description: long non-coding RNA (EGUT_LNC002712)
Source: RNAcentral
AAUUCAACCCCUCUUUUUUCUGGUCAAAUGUUAGAAACUUAACACCGUUAAUGUGAACGUUUAAUUACUUAUUUACCCCUAUGAAUGUAACAUAAUGUUGACGUGGACAAACUUCCCACUUAAACGUGCAAUUAUUUCUCUCUCCUAUCCCUCUUCUUCAUCUUCUGAAGCCAAUUUUUAUCAACAGGGUUCUCUCUCUCUCUCUCUCUCUCUCUCUCUCUCUCUCUCUCUCUCUCUCUCUCUCUCUCUUUAUCUUCUUCUCCUCCUCCUCUAAUUUUACGUUUAAAUCCCAAGGCUCUUCAUAUUCCAUCGCAAAGCUUCUAUUUUCCAUUCUCGCCGCUUGGCGGUGCUGAAUUUCCCACGGCGGCGCUAGGGUUUCACAGGGGUUGCGAUUUUUUGGUUUUGGGCUUCAAUUAACAAAGAUUUCCUCCUUCAAUUCAGGGCGUGGUUUGAGUUUAUUUGGGGCGAUUUUCUUCAUCUAUGUUUUAUGAGAGAAUGAGAGUGGUGGAGUGCAGUUGCGGCGAUAGCAUAGCACCGGCGCCUCUGCUUCUGUUGGGGAUGAUGGUUGCGUGGUGGUUGUGUUAAGAGUGAAGAAGGCCUCGCUAAGGUAUCGCAGAGUAGCGAUUGCUUAAUUUUGUAUAAUUCGUUGAAGGGGAUUUUGGGUGAAAACGUGGAAGAAGAUAAUGGGUAUAUAUUUUUGGUGGAGUUGACGAUGUACUGUGAUAAUUGAGAGAAUCGAGUUUCAUUUUGGUUCUAGUGAGGUAAAAAAGUGAGUGUGGAAGCUCUGUUUUGUGAUAACAGAGA